This 850-nucleotide ribosomal RNA is filed under the name uncultured bacterium. Its description in RNAcentral is "bacterial SSU rRNA". It matches the Rfam family "Bacterial small subunit ribosomal RNA", at positions 54 to 894 of the family's 1533-position model. The record is from RNAcentral.
CAUGCAAGUCGAACGGUAACAGGACUAGCUUGCUAGUCGCUGACGAGUGGCGGACGGGUGAGUAACGCGUAGGAAUCUACCUUGUAGUGGGGGAUAACCCGGGGAAACUCGGGCUAAUACCGCAUAACCUCUAAGGAGUAAAGUGGGGGACCUUCGGGCCUCAUGCUAUAAGAUGAGCCUGCGUCGGAUUAGCUUGUUGGUGGGGUAAAGGCCUACCAAGGCAACGAUCCGUAGCUGGUCUGAGGGGACGAUCAGCCACACUGGGACUGAGACACGGCCCAGACUCCUACGGGAGGCAGCAGUGGGGAAUAUUGGACAAUGGGCGAAAGCCUGAUCCAGCGAUGCCGCGUGUGUGAAGAAGGCCUUCGGGUUGUAAAGCACUUUCAGUGGGGAAGAAAAUCUUAAGGAUAAUACUCUUAAGAAUUGACGUUACCUACAGAAGAAGCACUGGCUAACUCUGUGCCAGCAGCCGCGGUAAUACAGAGAGUGCAAGCGCUAAUCGGAAUUACUGGGCGUAAAGCGCACGUAGGUGGAUGUUUAAGUCGGAUGUGAAAGCCCUGGGCUUAACCUAGGAACUGCAUCCGAUACUACUCAUCUAGAGUAUGGUAGAGGGAAGUGGAAUUUCCGGUGUAGCGGUGAAAUGCGUAGAUAUCGGAAGGAACACCAGUGGCGAAGGCGGCUUCCUGGACCAAUACUGACACUCAGGUGCGAAAGCGUGGGGAGCAAACAGGAUUAGAGACCCUGGUAGUCCACGCAGUCAACGAUGAGAACUAGCUGUUGGAAAGUUUUUACUUUUUAGUAGCGAAGCUAACGCGUUAAGUUCUCCGCCUGGGGAGUACGGCCGCAAGGC